CGGUGAUUGGCGCAGCCUGGUAGCGCACUUCGUUCGGGACGAAGGGGUCGGAGGUUCGUAUCACCGACCA
RNAcentral lists this transfer RNA (70 nucleotides) under Klebsiella pneumoniae. RNAcentral describes it as "tRNA-Pro". It matches the Rfam family "tRNA". From Rfam's summary of the family: Transfer RNA (tRNA) molecules are approximately 80 nucleotides in length. Their secondary structure includes four short double-helical elements and three loops (D, anti-codon, and T loops). Lineage: Bacteria; Pseudomonadati; Pseudomonadota; Gammaproteobacteria; Enterobacterales; Enterobacteriaceae. The record is from RNAcentral.